This is a regulatory RNA element of 79 nucleotides. It matches the Rfam family "c-di-GMP-I riboswitch aptamer". Rfam says of the family: GEMM was predicted in a large-scale screen for bacterial structured RNA regulatory elements. Genes associated with GEMM are involved in a diverse array of functions, including chemotaxis regulation, signal transduction, secretion and chitin. The record is from Rfam.
UUUCGUUCAAGGCAAAGUCAGAGUAAUCUGGCCACGCAAAACCACGGGUCCAUGGUUCAUGGAUAGCCGGGUUGCCGAA